This 406-nucleotide unclassified non-coding RNA is filed under the name soil metagenome. RNAcentral describes it as "partial contains 5.8S ribosomal RNA, internal transcribed spacer 2, and large subunit ribosomal RNA". The stretch from base 1 to 121 matches the Rfam family "5.8S ribosomal RNA", at positions 35 to 154 of the family's 154-position model. The record is from RNAcentral.
GAUGAAGAACGUAGCGAAAUGCGUUAAGUAGUGUGAAUUGCAGAAUUCAGUGAAUCAUCGAAUCUUUGAACGCACCUUGCGCCCUUUGGCUAUUCCGAAGGGCAUGCCUGUUUGAGUAUCAUGAACACCUCAACUCUCAUGGUUUUUCCAUGAUGGGCUUGGACUUUGGGGGUCUUGCCGGCCUAUGGUCAGCUCCUCUUAAAUGAAUCAGCUUGCCAGUGUUUGGUGUGGCAUCACAGGUGUGAUAACUAUCUACGCUUGUGGUUUUCCAUCAAGUAACCUUCAGUGAUGGAGGUUCGCUGGGGCUCAUAAAGGCCUCUCCUCGGUGAGGAUGGCUCCUUUGAACGUUUGAUCUCAAAUCAGGUAGGACUACCCGCUGAACUUAAGCAUAUCAAUAAGCGGAGGA